Molecule: ribosomal RNA, 301 nt
Filed under: uncultured bacterium
Lineage: Bacteria
Description: partial 16S ribosomal RNA
Rfam family: Bacterial small subunit ribosomal RNA
Source: RNAcentral
CAGUCGCCGCGGUAAAACGGAGGGUGCAAGCGUUAAUCGGAAUUACUGGGCGUAAAGCGCACGCAGGCGGUCUGUCAAGUCGGAUGUGAAAUCCCCGGGCUCAACCUGGGAACUGCAUUCGAAACUGGCAGGCUAGAGUCUUGUAGAGGGGGGUAGAAUUCCAGGUGUAGCGGUGAAAUGCGUAGAGAUCUGGAGGAAUACCGGUGGCGAAGGCGGCCCCCUGGACAAAGACUGACGCUCAGGUGCGAAAGCGUGGGGAGCAAACAGGAUUAGAUACCCGUGUAGUCCCUGUCUCUUAUAC